CUAAUGCUUUCAUCUUUCCCUUUAUAACUAUUUAAACAUGCACUACUUUUUAGUAAAUUUUUACUUAUGUUAUAGUUUGAAUUGUGGCACUUCAGCAUUCUUGAGAAAUACAGAACUAAAGUAAAUGCAUAACUCUUUGUAGGAAUGUCAGUAAAAACUUCUUAGUUCUUUCUUUCUUGUUCUGCUGACUUUUGCUCGGGAGACAGGGUCUUAACAUGUACUACAGGCUUUCCUAGACCUGAUUGCAUAGACUAGGCUGGGAUUUAACUCAGACACAGAUAUACCUGCCUCUGUCUUCUGAGUCCUGCUGUUAAAGGCAUGAGCCAAUACACCCAGAUUGUCCAUCUUAUUUUUCUUUAUAUUUAGUAAUUGUUGAUACAAUUUCUCUUGUGUGUACUCUGUACUGUUGAUCUGUUUACUUCUCUCUCUAUAUUUGUUAAUAAGCAUUUCUCUUGCAAGGUGAUAUCCCAUACAAAGGGUACAGAAAUGACAGAAGUGAUCCUCCUAUUCAGCUUCCUUCAAAAGGGACUUGUUGAUUACAUAUAAUUUGUAUGUCAUGAAGUAAGUGUGGGGAGCAUCAGAAUUAUAUGACUAUACUCUCAAAGAAGUAUACAUUUACAAUGUUGUAAGUAUUAUGGUUUCUCUUGUACAUGUGUAUGGGAUAUUUUAGAAUGCAGUGACCUAUGAUGAUGUGCAUGUCAACUUCACUUGGGAAGAGUGGACUUUACUGGAUCCUUCCCAGAAGAAUCUCUACAAAGAUGUGAUGCUGGAAACCUACAGGAACCUCACUAUUAUAGGAUACAAUUGGGAAGACCAUAAUACUGAAGAGCAUCUUCAAAGUUCUAGAGGAGAUGAAAGUCAUGAACAAAAUCAAACUGGAAAGAAACAUAC
Long non-coding RNA from Peromyscus eremicus (cactus mouse), 891 nucleotides. RefSeq lists it as uncharacterized. The record is from RefSeq and is a predicted model, not a curated record. The transcript has 3 exons. Lineage: Eukaryota; Metazoa; Chordata; Mammalia; Rodentia; Cricetidae.